UACAGAGGGGGCAAGCGUUGUUCGGAAUUACUGGGCGUAAAGGGCGCGUAGGCGGCCUGUUAAGUCGAACGUGAAAUCCCCGGGCUCAACCCGGGAACUGCGUCCGAUACUGGCAGGCUUGAAUUCGGGAGAGGGAUGUGGAAUUCCAGGUGUAGCGGUGAAAUGCGUAGAUAUCUGGAGGAACACCGGUGGCGAAGGCGGCAUCCUGGACCGAUAUUGACGCUGAUGCGCGAAAGCCAGAGGAGCAAACGGG
Molecule: ribosomal RNA, 253 nt
Filed under: uncultured bacterium
Lineage: Bacteria
Description: partial 16S ribosomal RNA
Rfam family: Bacterial small subunit ribosomal RNA
Source: RNAcentral